CUUUACUGCAGCUUGACAUUGAACUUUGAUCUUACUUGUGUAGGAUAGGUGGGAGGCUUUGAAACCGAGACGCUAGUUUCGGUGGAGCCAAUCUUGAAAUACCACCCUGGUAAUAUUGAGGUUCUAACUCUGCUCCAUUAUCUGGAGCGAGGACCAUGUCUGGUGGGUAGUUUGACUGGGGCGGUCUCCUCCUAAAGAGUAACGGAGGAGUACGAAGGUGCGCUCAGCGUGGUCGGAAAUCACGCGUAGAGUAUAAAGGCAAAAGCGCGCUUAACUGCGAGACCCACAAGUCGAGCAGGUACGAAAGUAGGUCUUAGUGAUCCGGUGGUUCUGUAUGGAAGGGCCAUCGCUCAACGGAUAAAAGGUA
Molecule: ribosomal RNA, 367 nt
Filed under: uncultured organism
Description: bacterial LSU rRNA
Rfam family: Bacterial large subunit ribosomal RNA
Source: RNAcentral